GACGAACGCUGGCGGCGUGCUUAACACAUGCAAGUCGAACGGGCCUUGUCCCCUUUUUUUUGGGGGUGGGGUUAGUGGCGAACGGGUGAGUAACACGUGAGUAACCUGCCCCUCACUUCUGGAUAACCGCUUGAAAGGGUGGCUAAUACGGGGUGUUCUGGCCUGCUCGCAUGGGUGGGUUUGGAAAGAUUCGACCGGUUUUGGUUGUUUUGGUGGGGGAUGGGCUCGCGGCCUAUCAGCUUGUUGGUGGGUGAUGGCCUGCCAAGGCUUUGACGGGUAGCCGGCCUGAGAGGGUGGGCGGUCACACUGGGACUGAGACACGGCCCAGACUCCUACGGGAGGCAGCAGUGGGGAAUAUUGCACAAUGGGCGCAAGCCUGAUGCAGCGACGCCGCGUGAGGGAUGGAGGCCUUCGGGUUGUGAACCUCUUUCGCCAGUGAAGAAGGUCCUGCUCUUUGUGGUGGGGUUGACGGUAGCUGGGUUAAUGAAGCGCCGGCUAACUACGUG
This 506-nucleotide ribosomal RNA is filed under the name uncultured bacterium. RNAcentral's name for it is "partial 16S ribosomal RNA". It matches the Rfam family "Bacterial small subunit ribosomal RNA", at positions 28 to 507 of the family's 1533-position model. The record is from RNAcentral.